UCUUUAUCUCUUGCUUUUCAAAACAAGUUCUCAGCCCUACAACAACCAGCUGACUCCCAACAAACAAAGUGAACAGUACGGUAAAAGUGCGGAACGUCUGGCGACCCUGAUUUGAGAACUACGUUUUGAGGUCUCUCUGAGAUUUUAUGAUCUAGAGCGGACUCUGGAGCUUCUUCGUGGUGAAACUGCCCAAGCAACGAAUCACCAAGUCUGAGGAGAAUCCUGUCAUCAGAAUGGCUACAGAACCCACAGGAGAAUCUGCCACAAUUGUAGACACAGUCGUUUCACUCACCCCUGACUACUCGGAAACAGCUCCCGUUGUAGACGCGCCCAUUUCCCUCGCCCCUGACAGCUACUCGGAUUCAGUGUCCUCGUGGACGGCGGUUCUGAUGGCGGUGGGCGGCAUGCUGGUCGGCGUGGCCUUCACCUGGCUGGUCAUGCACAGCAGGAAUCGGAGGAAGACGAGGAAAAAACAGAAGCUCAAUCCUCCAGGAAUGCUAAGAACUGCUCUAUAAGAUCACUUCACUUUGGCUUUACUUGAAAAUGAUCUUCAAUUUGUAGAAAUGUAUAGGACAAAUAGCAAAAAUGUAUAGUUUUUUAACAAUUUAUUCUGUUUAAUUGUUUUGUCGUUGCUGUAAUAGAUGAAAUGUGUUCCUCUGAAUUAAUGCAACAUACCAUUCCUGCUUAUAAUCUUUAUAAACCAUUCCUAACCUUUAAAAAACA
This is a long non-coding RNA of Astyanax mexicanus (Mexican tetra), 723 nucleotides long. RefSeq lists it as uncharacterized. The record is from RefSeq and is a predicted model, not a curated record. The transcript has 3 exons. NCBI's taxonomy places the organism in Eukaryota, Metazoa, Chordata, Actinopteri, Characiformes, Acestrorhamphidae.